GUUCUGGAGGGUCAGAAAAGACGGUUCUGCCCUUUGAGAUAUUUUUGUUUUUCUGUGUAUCGAUCUUAUCUUCUUCUGUCUUCUAGAGUCGUCUAAUCUAAAUUGAGAGAGUGGGUUGCUUUGUCUCUUUUCUACAGCUGUGAUCUGGAUUUCUAUAAUCAGUGGAUUGCUUCUUUUCUCUGCGGUCGUUUAAGGAGGAUUGAGAGGUCGAUUUUUUUGUUUUGAUUUGUGAAUUUGGAUUUGGUUCAUUCUUUUGUGCUUACGAUCUUCUGUGAUUUAGAUUUUGUGAUUGGUUUUUGUUGCAUCUUUUGCAUUGGUUGGGUUGUAGUUUGAAAAAGGGUGAGCGUAUUUGUCAGUUUUUGAUUAUCUGUGGAGGAAUUUUGAUUUGUGGUUUUGAAUUGAUUUGAUUCUCCAAGUCGGCACGAUUUUUUUCGGAGGGAUCUUUCAACAGGAGAAGGGAGAGACAGCGAAGUAGAGGUCGAUAGCAAGGUUUGGAUCCGGUUUGGGAGGGAUCUUUCAGCAGGAGAAGAGGAUAAUUGUGUUUGGGUAGAUGAUCUGCUAUAACUAAACCAAUUGUGCUUGGGUUUUGAAGAUAAUCGUCCUAGAUCAACCAGAACUGAGAAGGUUGUCUUCUCAGCCAAUCCAAGAGCUAUUCGCCUCUUC
This is a long non-coding RNA of Rosa chinensis, 663 nucleotides long. RefSeq lists it as uncharacterized. NCBI's taxonomy places the organism in Eukaryota, Viridiplantae, Streptophyta, Magnoliopsida, Rosales, Rosaceae. The record is from RefSeq and is a predicted model, not a curated record. The transcript has 3 exons.